GUUUGGCACCUCGAUGUCGGCUCAUCUCAUCCUGGGGCUGAAGCAGGUCCCAAGGGUAUGGCUGUUCGCCAUUUAAAGAGGUACGCGAGCUGGGUUUAGAACGUCGUGAGACAGUUCGGUCCCUAUCUACCGUGGGCGCUGGAAAUUUGAGAGGAUCUGCUCCUAGUACGAGAGGACCAGAGUGGACGAACCUCUGGUGUACCGGUUGUGACGCCAGUCGCAUCGCCGGGUAGCUAUGUUCGGAAGGGAUAACCGCUGAAAGCAUCUAAGCGGGAAGCCUACCUCAAGAUAAGAUUUCCCUAGGACUUUAUGUCCUCUAAAGAGCCGUUCGAGACUAGGACGUUGAUAGGUUGGAUGUGGAAGCAUAGUGAUAUGUGAAGCUGACCAAUACUAAUUGCUCGUGAGGCUUGACUAUACAACACCCAAGCAGUUG
RNAcentral lists this ribosomal RNA (433 nucleotides) under Acinetobacter baumannii. RNAcentral describes it as "bacterial LSU rRNA". It matches the Rfam family "Bacterial large subunit ribosomal RNA", at positions 2516 to 2925 of the family's 2925-position model. Lineage: Bacteria; Pseudomonadati; Pseudomonadota; Gammaproteobacteria; Moraxellales; Moraxellaceae. The record is from RNAcentral.